Molecule: ribosomal RNA, 161 nt
Filed under: Eschscholzia lobbii
Lineage: Eukaryota; Viridiplantae; Streptophyta; Magnoliopsida; Ranunculales; Papaveraceae
Description: 5.8S ribosomal RNA
Rfam family: 5.8S ribosomal RNA
About the family: 5.8S ribosomal RNA (5.8S rRNA) is a component of the large subunit of the eukaryotic ribosome. It is transcribed by RNA polymerase I as part of the 45S precursor that also contains 18S and 28S rRNA. Functionally, it is thought that 5.8S rRNA may be involved in ribosome translocation.
Source: RNAcentral
GAACGACUCUCGGCAACGGAUAUCUCGGCUCUCGCAUCGAUGAAGAACGUAGCGAAAUGCGAUACUUGGUGUGAAUUGCAGAAUCCCGUGAACCAUCGAGUUUUUGAACGCAAGUUGCGCCCGAGGUCGUCAGGCCGAGGGCACGCCUGCCUGGGCGUCAC